This 532-nucleotide ribosomal RNA is filed under the name uncultured Coniochaeta. RNAcentral's name for it is "SSU rRNA". It matches the Rfam family "Eukaryotic small subunit ribosomal RNA", at positions 218 to 755 of the family's 1831-position model. Lineage: Eukaryota; Fungi; Ascomycota; Sordariomycetes; Coniochaetales. The record is from RNAcentral.
AAAACCAAUGCCCUUCGGGGCUUCCUGGUGAUUCAUAAUAACUUCUCGAAUCGCACGGCCUUGCGCCGGCGAUGGUUCAUUCAAAUUUCUGCCCUAUCAACUUUCGACGGCUGGGUCUUGGCCAGCCGUGGUGACAACGGGUAACGGAGGGUUAGGGCUCGACCCCGGAGAAGGAGCCUGAGAAACGGCUACUACAUCCAAGGAAGGCAGCAGGCGCGCAAAUUACCCAAUCCCGACACGGGGAGGUAGUGACAAUACAUACUGAUACAGGGCUCUUUUGGGUCUUGUAAUUGGAAUGAGUACAAUUUAAAUCCCUUAACGAGGAACAAUUGGAGGGCAAGUCUGGUGCCAGCAGCCGCGGUAAUUCCAGCUCCAAUAGCGUAUAUUAAGUUGUUGCGGUUAAAAAGCUCGUAGUUGAACCUUGGGCCUGGCUGGCCGGUCCGCCUCACCGCGUGCACUGGUACGGUCGGGCCUUUCCCUCUGGGGAACCGCAUGCCCUUCACUGGGUGUGUCGGGGAACCAGGACUUUUAC